GAAGGUAGAGCUCGGUGGUAGAGUGUGUGCUUAGCAUGCAUGAGGUCCUGGGUUCAACCCCUAGUACCUCCA
This 72-nucleotide transfer RNA is filed under the name Camelus bactrianus (Bactrian camel). It matches the Rfam family "tRNA". From Rfam's summary of the family: Transfer RNA (tRNA) molecules are approximately 80 nucleotides in length. Their secondary structure includes four short double-helical elements and three loops (D, anti-codon, and T loops). RNAcentral also lists the same sequence under 2 other names. Lineage: Eukaryota; Metazoa; Chordata; Mammalia; Artiodactyla; Camelidae. The record is from Rfam by way of RNAcentral.